UUUUAAACACUUUUCUCUCUUUUUCAGGCAUCUACAUGGAAGCAUUCUGGAUUUCAUUGGGCACGGUGCCUGUGACUGAUUACAAAAUCUGCUGCUGAAGCAACUUCUAGAGGUGGUGGAAGACCUAUGGUUGUGGAUCCUUUGCACAUAUAAGUGUUAUUGUGUGUGUCUGUUUGACCAUGAGACCUACAGCCAACAAGACUUCUGGUGCUCCUUCCUACAGCAGAUGGUCCAGUUCACAGCCCCAUCAGUCCAGCUCCACAGUGAGAACGUACCAAA
This 279-nucleotide long non-coding RNA is filed under the name Serinus canaria (Common canary). Its description in RNAcentral is "lncRNA (ENSSCAG00000000076.1)". Lineage: Eukaryota; Metazoa; Chordata; Aves; Passeriformes; Fringillidae. The record is from RNAcentral.